RNA transcript from Rhinopithecus roxellana (golden snub-nosed monkey), 682 nucleotides. It is a transcript of the gene named vacuolar protein sorting-associated protein 29 pseudogene, with no coding region annotated. The record is from RefSeq and is a predicted model, not a curated record. The transcript has a single exon. Lineage: Eukaryota; Metazoa; Chordata; Mammalia; Primates; Cercopithecidae.
GAGAAGCCUGAGGAAGAGGGCGGCGGCAGUGGUGGUGACUGAGCGGAGCCCGGUGACAGGAUGUUGGUGUUGGUAUUAGGAGAUCUGCACAUCCCACAGCGGUGCAACAGUUUGCCAGCUAAAUUCAAAAAACUCCUGGUGCCAGGAAAAAUUCAGCACAUUCUCUGCACAGGAAACCUUUGCACCAAAGAGAGUUGUGACUAUCUCAAGACUCUGGCUGGUGAUGUUCAUAUUGUGAGAGGAGGCUUCGAUGAGAAUCUGAAUUAUCCGGAACAGAAAGUUGUGACUGUUGGACAGUUCAAAAUUGGUCUGAUCCAUGGACAUCAAGUUAUUCCAUGGGGAGAUAUGGCCAGCUUAGCCCUGUUGCAGAGGCAGUUUGAUGUGGACAUUCUUAUCUCGGGACACACACAGAAAUUUGAAGCAUUUGAGCAUGAAAAUAAAUUCUACAUUAAUCCAGGUUCUGCCACUGGGGCAUAUAAUGCCUUGGAAACAAAUAUUAUUCCGUCAUUUGUGUUGAUGGAUAUCCAGGCUUCCAGAGUGGUCACCUAUGUGUAUCAGCUAAUUGGAGAUGAUGUGAAAGUAGAACGAAUUGAAUACAAAAAAUCUUAAAGCCAGGCCUGUCUUGAUGAUUUUUUUUUUCAUUGUCCUGUUGAAAUCAAGUAAUUAAACAUUUAAGAGCCAC